UCGGGAAAAGUAAAACUGAGCUUAAAAUUAUGGCGCAGUUCUGAAAACCGGGAACCGAGAAGCCCCGCCUCGUCGAGGACAAGGAUGGCGGUGUUAUUUUCUUGUCAUCUUCUUACUCUUCAUCUUCUUCUGGAUAUGGGUACGUGAGCAUUGAGAAGCAAAGACAGAGGCUUCCAGUUUAUAAGUAUAGAACUGCUAUUCUUUAUUUAGUGGAGUCUCACGCUACUACCAUUGUUGUUGGUGAAACGGGUAGUGGUAAAACCGCUCAAAUUCCACAGUUUUUAAAAGAAGCUGGUUGGGCUGAUGGUGGGCGUGUUAUAGCUUGCACGCAACCAAGACGACAAGCUGUGCAGGAAGCUUUGAACUCCUAUUCGUCUGCAUUUUCAUCUUUUUCAAGUGAAUGUAAAUGUAACAUUCAUUUCUAAUCAGAUGUGUGAGUCCAUGCCAUAGCAUAUAAUAUUCGUUGUCCGAGUAACUAACAUAAAAAAUUAUUCAUUUUAUAUUUAAUUUA
This is a long non-coding RNA of Gossypium raimondii (Peruvian cotton), 511 nucleotides long. RefSeq lists it as uncharacterized. NCBI's taxonomy places the organism in Eukaryota, Viridiplantae, Streptophyta, Magnoliopsida, Malvales, Malvaceae. The transcript has 3 exons. The record is from RefSeq and is a predicted model, not a curated record.